UGGGUAACCUGCCUCAAAGAGGGGAAUAGCCUCCCGAAAGGGAGAUUAAUACCGCAUAAUAUGUUUAAGUCGCAUGACUUUAACAUCAAGGGAUUUCUUUUAGAAAUUCCACUUUGAGAUGGACCCGCGGCGCAUUAGCUAGUUGGUGAGGUAACGGCUCACCAAGGCAACGAUGCGU
Molecule: ribosomal RNA, 178 nt
Filed under: uncultured bacterium
Lineage: Bacteria
Description: partial 16S ribosomal RNA
Rfam family: Bacterial small subunit ribosomal RNA
Source: RNAcentral